Molecule: ribosomal RNA, 451 nt
Filed under: uncultured Fibrobacter sp.
Lineage: Bacteria; Pseudomonadati; Fibrobacterota; Fibrobacteria; Fibrobacterales; Fibrobacteraceae
Description: partial 16S ribosomal RNA
Rfam family: Bacterial small subunit ribosomal RNA
Source: RNAcentral
ACGGAAGGCAGCAGUAGGGAAUAUUGCACAAUGGGGGAAACCCUGAUGCAGCAACGCCACGUGUGGGAAGACGCAUUUCGGUGUGUAAACCACUGUCGUGAGGGAAUAAGGACGCUUCUCGGAGCGUUUGAAUGUACCUCGAAAGGAAGCACCGGCAAACUUCGUGCCAGCAGCCGCGGUAAUACGAGGGGUGCAAGCGUUGUUCGGAAUCACUGGGCGUAAAGGGAGCGCAGGCGGAAGUGCAAGCGGUCUGUACAAUACCGGGGCUCAACCCCGGACCUGCAGACUGGACUGUUUCUCUUGGAUAGUUCAGGGGCAAGCGGAAUUCCUGGUGUAGCGGUGGAACGCGUAGAGAUCAGGAAGAACACCGAUGGCGAAGGCAGCUUGCUGGGGACUUAUCGACGCUCAUGCUCGAAAGUGCGGGUAGCAAACAGGAUUAGAUACCCUGGUA